This 201-nucleotide ribosomal RNA is filed under the name uncultured bacterium. RNAcentral describes it as "partial 16S ribosomal RNA". It matches the Rfam family "Bacterial small subunit ribosomal RNA", at positions 524 to 723 of the family's 1533-position model. The record is from RNAcentral.
UACGGGGGGAGCAAGCGUUGUUCGGAUUUACUGGGCGUAAAGGGCGCGUAGGCGGCCAGCACAAGUCAGUUGUGAAAUCUCCGAGCUUAACUCGGAAAGGUCAACUGAUACUGUGCGGCUAGAGUGCGGAAGGGGCAACUGGAAUUCUUGGUGUAGCGGUGAAAUGCGUAGAUAUCUGGAGGAACACCGGUGGCGAAGGCG